CAGCCGCCGCGGGAAUACAGAGGAUGCAAGCGUUAUCCGGAAUGAUUGGGCGUAAAGGGCUCGCAGGCGGUUUCUUAAGUCUGAUGUGAAAGCCCCCGGCUCAACCGGGGAGGGUCAUUGGAAACUGGGAAACUUGAGUGCAGAAGAGGAGAGUGGAAUUCCACGUGUAGCGGUGAAAUGCGUAGAGAUGUGGAGGAACACCAGUGGCGAAGGCGACUCUCUGGUCUGUAACUGACGCUGAGGAGCGAAAGCGUGGGGAGCGAACAGGAUUAGAUACCCGAGUAGUCCCUGUCUCUUAUAC
RNAcentral lists this ribosomal RNA (301 nucleotides) under uncultured bacterium. Its description in RNAcentral is "partial 16S ribosomal RNA". It matches the Rfam family "Bacterial small subunit ribosomal RNA", at positions 509 to 807 of the family's 1533-position model. The record is from RNAcentral.